GUUUACGGCCACACCGCCUGGUAUACGCGUUGAUCUCGGAAGAUAAGAUAGGUUGGGCCUGGUUAGUACUUUGAUGGGAGACCGCCUGGGAAUACCAGGUGCUGUAAGCU
This 110-nucleotide ribosomal RNA is filed under the name Scophthalmus maximus (turbot). Lineage: Eukaryota; Metazoa; Chordata; Actinopteri; Pleuronectiformes; Scophthalmidae. The record is from RNAcentral.